Molecule: ribosomal RNA, 478 nt
Filed under: uncultured bacterium
Lineage: Bacteria
Description: bacterial SSU rRNA
Rfam family: Bacterial small subunit ribosomal RNA
Source: RNAcentral
CAGGACGAACGCUGGCGGCGUGCCUAACACGAUAGCAAGUCGAGCGAGGAGAUUCCUCGGGAUGAUCCUAGCGGCGGACGGGUGAGUAACACGUGGGCAACCUGCCUCAUAGAGAGGAAUAGCCUUCCGAAAGGGAGAUUAAUACCUCAUAACAUUGCAGUUUCGCAUGGAACAGCAAUUAAAGGAGCAAUCCGCUAUGAGAUGGGCCCGCGGCGCAUUAGCUAGUUGGUGAGGUAACGGCUCACCAAGGCGACGAUGCGUAGCCGACCUGAGAGGGUGAUCGGCCACAUUGGGACUGAGACACGGCCCAGACUCCUACGGGAGGCAGCAGUGGGGAAUAUUGCACAAUGGGGGAAACCCUGAUGCAAGCAACGCCGCGUGAGUGAUGACGGCCUUCGGGUUGUAAAGCUCUGUCUUCAGGGACGAUAAUGACGGUACCUGAGGAGGAAGCCACGGCUAACUACGUGCCAGCCGCUGC